CCUACGGGAGGCAGCAGUGAGGAAUAUUGGUCAAUGGGCGCGAGCCUGAACCAGCCAAGUAGCGUGAAGGAUGACUGCCCUACGGGUUGUAAACUUCUUUUGUAAAGGAAUAAAAUGAGGCACGCGUGCCUUUUUGUAUGUACUUUAUGAAUAAGCAUCGGCUAACUCCGUGCCAGCAGCCGCGGUAAUACGGAGGAUCCGAGCGUUAUCCGGAUUUAUUGGGUUUAAAGGGAGCGUAGGUGGGUUGUUAAGUCAGUUGUGAAAUUUUGCGGCUCAACCGUAAAAGUGCAAUUGAUACUGGCAGUCUUGAGUACAGUUGAGGUAGGCGGAAUGCGUGGUGUAGCGGUGAAAUGCUUAGAUAUCACGAAGAACUCCGAUUGCGAAGGCAGCUUACUAACCUGCAACUGACGCUGAUGCUCGAAAGUGUGGGUAUCGAACAGGAUUAGAUACCCGAGUAGUC
This 460-nucleotide ribosomal RNA is filed under the name uncultured bacterium. Its description in RNAcentral is "partial 16S ribosomal RNA". It matches the Rfam family "Bacterial small subunit ribosomal RNA", at positions 338 to 795 of the family's 1533-position model. The record is from RNAcentral.